GUGUUUUCUUUGUUUCUUUGCAGAAAAAUGAAGUGACAGGUGCUUAGCCUCAUUUUUCAUGCUAGCUUUGCCAUGCCAUUUUCACCAAUAAUGAAGGCAGCUGCCAGAGUUUGAGGAAAUCAGGCGAAAAAUUCAGCUGGCAGGUGAUCAAGUCUGCCCUGUGGUCCCUGGUGCUGAGCAUUGAUGUUGGCAGGUGCAGCCUGGGGCAGUGGUAGAAGGGGAGCAGAGGCUGCAAUUCCUGUCACACCCCAGCCUCAAGAGGCUGGCAGAGCAUGGAGUGAACUUCAGCUUCUCUGGGGCCCAGGGGCUGCUUUUGGACACACAUCAGGCACUAAAGAUGGCCCAGGCUGUGGAUUACCUGUGAACUUCAAUGCUGAACAUUACUGA
This 387-nucleotide long non-coding RNA is filed under the name Parus major (Great Tit). RNAcentral's name for it is "lncRNA (ENSPMJG00000000736.1)". The record is from RNAcentral. Lineage: Eukaryota; Metazoa; Chordata; Aves; Passeriformes; Paridae.